Molecule: transfer RNA, 70 nt
Filed under: Wetmorena haetiana
Lineage: Eukaryota; Metazoa; Chordata; Lepidosauria; Squamata; Diploglossidae
Description: Celestus haetianus tRNA-Ile
Source: RNAcentral
GGAAAUGUGCCCGAGUAUUAAGGAUUACUUUGAUAGAGUAAACAACAGAGACUGAAAUCUCUCAUUUCCU